CCCUUAGAUGUCCUGGGCCGCACGCGCGCUACACUGAUGCAUUCAACGAGUUUUACCUUGGCCGAGAGGCCUGGGCAAUCUUUUAAACCUGCAUCGUGAUAGGGAUAGAUUAUUGCAAUUAUUAAUCUUGAACGAGGAAUUCCUAGUAAACGCAGAUCAUCAAUCUGCAUUGAUUACGUCCCUGCCCUUUGUACACACCGCCCGUCGCACCUACCGAUUGAAUGGUCCGGUGAAGCCUCGGGAUUGUGGCCAGUUCACUUUAUUGGGAGUUGGCUGCGAGAACUUGUCUAAACCUUAUCAUUUAGAGGAAGGUGAAGUCGCAACA
RNAcentral lists this ribosomal RNA (325 nucleotides) under uncultured eukaryote. RNAcentral's name for it is "partial 18S ribosomal RNA". It matches the Rfam family "Eukaryotic small subunit ribosomal RNA", at positions 1470 to 1796 of the family's 1831-position model. The record is from RNAcentral.